Non-coding RNA from Oryzias latipes (Japanese medaka), 3844 nucleotides. Lineage: Eukaryota; Metazoa; Chordata; Actinopteri; Beloniformes; Adrianichthyidae. The record is from RefSeq and is a predicted model, not a curated record.
GCCCAGCCGCUCAGUAGCCAUUUUGGUCCCACCUAAAACAGUCCGAACUGCUUCACUUUAGUCCGCAGGAGAUGGGAGAAACAGAACAGACUGCGGGUGUUUCAGCCUUCCGGGGAUUUACCUUCUCUCUGCCAAACUCCUACCAGUGACCCUAUAUCGGUUCUGUUUAAUCCGAACUCGGUUUGCGGGAAAAGGGAAGGUUCGGCUAUUUUUGUACCGACCGACACAGUCACACAGCGCCUUCGCGUUAGUUUAGUUAGCCUCACUGACUCUCAUGGACACCGCUUUUCCUGUCGGGAUGUGUGGAUCGGACCUCACCGGCCUGCAGUGACAUGUAACCACUGAAAAGCAGACCGUACCGCUCCGUAGUUUCUUCUUUUUUUUUUUUCUUUGCUCUUCCUGAGAGCUCAGGUGCUCGGCACAAACACGUCCGGUCUGCGAGAGUCGUCACGAUCCAUGCCGAGACCGUUUUCCGGAGAGAGCUGCAGAGCGAAUUAGGGUCUGUUGGUUUUGGGAGGUCGGGCUGGCGUUUGGACAUCGGAAAACAAGAGUUUUGAAGGAAGACGGCCGAGAAGAUGUCAACCAAAACUCCCUUACCCACGGUCAACGAAAAGGUGACGGAAAGUCACACCUCGCACAGCAACGGCCGCUCGGACCUCGGCACGCGCUCCAGCCGGACCGGCGUUCGAACCCGCAGCUCCGACGAGUCGCAGCCACCCCACGUCGGAAACUACCGCCUGCUCAAAACCAUCGGCAAGGGCAACUUCGCCAAAGUCAAACUGGCCCGGCACAUCCUCACAGGCAGGGAGGUGGCAAUUAAGAUCAUAGACAAGACUCAGCUGAACCCCAACAGCCUACAGAAGCUCUUCAGAGAAGUCCGAAUAAUGAAGAUCUUGAAUCAUCCUAAUAUUGUCAAACUGUUUGAGGUGAUCGAAACGGACCGGACGCUCUACCUGGUCAUGGAGUACGCCAGCGGAGGAGAGGUGUUCGACUACCUGGUUGCACAUGGAAGAAUGAAGGAAAAAGAGGCCAGAGCUAAAUUUAGACAGAUCGUGUCAGCGGUGCAGUACUGCCACCAGAAGCACAUCGUUCACCGUGACCUCAAGGCCGAGAACCUCCUCCUCGACGCAGACAUGAACAUAAAGAUCGCAGAUUUUGGCUUCAGCAACGAGUUCACCCUGGGCAACAAGCUGGACACGUUCUGCGGCUCGCCGCCGUACGCGGCGCCGGAGCUGUUCCAGGGCAAGAAAUACGACGGGCCGGAGGUGGACGUGUGGAGUCUGGGGGUCAUCCUGUACACGCUGGUCAGCGGCUCGCUGCCCUUCGAUGGACAGAACCUGAAGGAGCUGCGGGAGCGCGUCCUCAGAGGGAAGUACCGCAUUCCCUUCUACAUGUCCACCGACUGCGAGAACCUCCUCAAACGCUUCCUGGUCCUCAACCCGGCCAAGCGGGGUACUCUCGAGGUGAGGGAGGACGCCGAGAACCAAAUCAUGAAGGAUCGAUGGAUCAACGCCGGGUUUGAGGAGGACGAGCUGAAGCCGUACACGGAGCCGGAGCUGGACAUCACAGACCAGAAGAGAAUAGAUGUGAUGGUGGGGAUGGGCUACAAGCUGGAGGACAUCCAGGAAUCUCUGACCAAGAUGAAGUACGACCAGUUCACAGCCACCUACCUGCUGCUGGGCAGGAAGGCCUCUGAGCUGGAGCCCAGCGAGUCAGCCUCCAGCAGUAAUGCGUCUUUGGCCAAACCCAGACCUAGCAGCGAGCUCAACGGCCAGUCGCCAUCCCACCUCAAAGUCCAGAGAAGUGUUUCCUCCAACCACAAACAGAGACGAUACAGCGAGCAAGUCGGGCAGAACGUCCCUCCGGGGAUGACCCAUCCAAAGAGGAGUCAGACCACCACAGGGGAAAGCAACGCCAAGGAGGAGGCCGGCGUCCAGAAACCCAGCACCCCAGGCGGACGCGGCGCUCCCCCCUCCAGCCCUUUGCUGGGCAACGCCAACAACCCCAACAAGGCAGACAUCCCUGACCGCAGGAAAGGGGGCACCACCGGCCCCGCUACUAACUCGGCGUCAGCAGGCAUGACCCGCAGGAACACGUAUGUGUGCAGCGACAGGAACAACGCGGACCGCCUCUCCGUCAUUCCCAACGGGAAGGAGAACAGUGUCGCCGUGUCUCCUGGCGGGCAGAGGAACCCUGUGGCGUCCACCCACAGCAUCGCCAACAGCACCACACCCGACCGCCUCCGCUUCCCCCGAGGCACGGCCAGCCGCAGCACCUUCCACGGCGGCCAGCUGAGAGACCGCCGCACCGCCACGUACAACGGGCCCCCGGCCUCGCCCACGCUGUCACACGACGCCACGCCCCUGUCCCAAACCCGCAGCCGUGGAACCAGCAACCUCUUCUCCAAACUCACGUCUAAACUCACACGCAGAAACAUGUCAUUCAGGUUUACCAAAAGGGUCAGUAUUGACCCGGCCAAACGGCAGACGGCCAAAACGGGCUCUGUCAACCCCUCUACCCAGGGAGGAAAGACCCUUAAUUGGCGAGCAGAAGACAGUUGUAGGAAGAUGAAGAUGUAGAGUAAAGCUGGUUCAGUCCCUGCUGUCUGGCCUGGGGGGUCCCUGCCUGCCUCUCUUGGUCUUGUGAUCUUUGUUUUUCUCUCUCUCCGGCUGACUCAGGCCCUGCUGCUGCCGCUGUCUGCCCACUCUUCCUCUUGUUGUUGAGUCAGGAGUGUCCUCCUCCUCCUCCACCCGUCCUGUUUUCUGUCCUGCAGGGCAUGAUGGGAGCCCGCUCUCCCCCGUCCACUUAAACCAGGAACGUUUAGACUCCAGAGAAAGGGUAGGCGUGUCCCUGCGGCGUGCUGCGCUGCAGCAGAAAGGUGACGCUGCUUUGGCUUCACGCCACACAGACGUCGGAACGCAGGCUUCCUGUCUGCCGCCGCUCUGAAGAGCCGGCUGCGUUUGUGGUCCCGGACUUUCCAUGACUCAUGUUCUGAGCUUAGCUGCAGGUUUGGGCUCCGUGGGCGUCGUCCUAGUGACCCGCCGGCGUUUUCUUAUAUUCCUAGUUUUGCUGGGAGGUUUCCCUCGUGCUAAAGUGUCACAGAAGCUGCUCUGCUGAGUUUUGGCCGGUAACUCAAAUCCAAAGCGGACUUGGCUGUGAUUUAAUAACAAGAUAAAGUUCUGUUUCUGUGUCCGUCUGCACCGGCUCCCCUUCCUCCCACGGAUGUCACAGUGGUUCUGUUCUGGUUCUGUUGGUUUGGUUUUAGUCUUUUCCAAAAACGUUUCCAUUCCAGCAGCAGCAGCUUCCGUCCUGACAAACACCUCUGUGAUGUGACAUCACGAGGUUCAGGUCCAGAUCGGAGCGUCACCCUGACAGCUGUCCGUCACGUUUGUGGGCGGACCCUUCAGCGUUGAGGGUAGAAGCGGACUUCCCUCCCAGCCGUCCCUCCGUUGUCUGCUUGGCCGUGUGACCCGUGUUCACGGUGCCGCUCCGGCGUUUGAAAUCUGCUUCAACCGUGACGAAGCAGCAGGUUCUGCGUCUGCCGCCGUCUGUGCUGCCUCACCUUCUCAUCUUCCUCACUGCUCUCCACUUCCACGCGUUUCUUCUUCUUUUUAUUUGGGGGGGGGGGGGGGUGGUUUAGUGGUUCUCUCAGUUCUUUUUGCGUUCUGUAGAAUCGACCUUGUCUGGUUCUGAUCGAGCACAAUCCACAACCUUGUUUUUUUUCUCCCCUUCACGACCUCCCUCCCUCGCCACCGUGUCCGAUCUUCUCGUGCGCCCCAGAGUCUCCACAGAGUUUGAGAGAAACGGGAGACUUGAGGGCUCAAGUCGCCAUGUACCUGGGGAU